Molecule: ribosomal RNA, 586 nt
Filed under: Ammonia sp. genotype T2
Lineage: Eukaryota; Foraminifera; Rotaliida; Rotaliidae
Description: bacterial SSU rRNA
Rfam family: Eukaryotic small subunit ribosomal RNA (bases 1-462)
Source: RNAcentral
GGGUCCGGACACACUGAGGAUUGACAGAUAUACGCUCAUUGCUGCGUGCUUCGGCGCGUGCUUUGAGUUGAAAGAUGCUAGUUCUUUCAUGAUUAUGUGAUAGGUGGUGCAUGGCCGUUCUUAGUUCGUGGAGUGAUCUGUCUGCUUAAUUGCGUAUCAAUAAUAGAGACCUAGUAUACGCGUGGAUUUCGCGUGGUAGUGACCCCCUGUUUAACGACAGGCGUGUGUCGCACACGCGUACCUACGCACUGGUCUCAGAUAGCAACGAACGUGACCGUAUUCUAUUGUUGCAGUGAAAUGUGCCUUCUGGGUACGACCCACUGCUUAGUAUAUGUACGUGCUUCGGCGCGAACAAUAUACAUUAAACUAUAGAGACCGCUGUUUCUUCUUUAAACCAGAGGAAGGAUACGGCAAUAACAGGUCUGUGAUGCCCUCAGAUGUUCCGGGCUGCACACGUGCUACAAUGAUCAUUGCACUGUGCAUCUAACCCAAUGUGCGUGGACGCCGCAUGCAUGUGCCUUCGGGUACACGCAUUGCUGUUGCGACCACGCCGAACCUACUUCGAAAGUAAAAUUUCUCAGUGGGU